Molecule: long non-coding RNA, 444 nt
Filed under: Equus caballus (horse)
Lineage: Eukaryota; Metazoa; Chordata; Mammalia; Perissodactyla; Equidae
Description: lncRNA (ENSECAG00000054431.1)
Source: RNAcentral
AUUUACAUUUAAAAUGAUUGCCUCUUUUAAUCCUCGAAAUGAUCUUAAGUGAGAAGUAUCAUUAACCUCACUCUAUAGAUGUAGAAAUUGGGGGACAUCAACUAUCUUGCCCAAGUUGAUGCUGCUUGUAAAUGGUAGAUUUGUCCCUCCGGCUCAGGACUGCACAAUUCCAAACCUGAGGCUCUUCACACCUCGCCUGCCAUCUGAGCCACGACCGUGUCCCGCAUGAUACUGGCACAUGGGCACAGCACCAUAGCUGGCACCUGAUAACCCACCGUGUGAAGAGGCUCCUUUUUCCAUCCUUUUUCCUAGGGGUGGACUGAAAGAGAAAAGAUCAUUUUCAGAUGAGACAGCACAAUAAACAAGCAAAAACAGGCUCACGACUUCCUAGAAGCUCCUAGGCGUCUAGACAUAGUGGUUCUCAAUCCUGCAAAGAGACAGAGG